GAGAAAGAAGCUUGGGAACUUGCAAAGAAGAGCAAUGUAAACAUCAUUACGGUUUGUCCUUCUCUAACUAUAGGCCCACUGCUGCAGCCAACCAUGAAUUCCAGCAGCUUAUAUCUCCUCAAGCUAUUGAGAGAUGGAUCUGAAUCAGAAGAUAAUAGAAUCAUUCCUUACGUAGAUGUGCGUGAUGCAGCAGAAUCACUCUUGCUAGUAUAUGAGAAGCCU
Molecule: unclassified non-coding RNA, 222 nt
Filed under: Hevea brasiliensis (rubber tree)
Lineage: Eukaryota; Viridiplantae; Streptophyta; Magnoliopsida; Malpighiales; Euphorbiaceae
Source: RNAcentral